UUAAGUUAUUAAGGGCGCACGGUGGAUGCCUUGGCACUAGAAGCCGAUGAAGGACGUUACUAACGACGAUAUGCUUUGGGGAGCUGUAAGUAAGCUUUGAUCCAGAGAUUUCCGAAUGGGGAAACCCAACAUGAGUUAUGUCAUGUUAUCGAUAUGUGAAUACAUAGCAUAUCAGAAGGCACACCCGGAGAACUGAAACAUCUUAGUACCCGGAGGAAGAGAAAGAAAAUUCGAUUCCCUUAGUAGCGGCGAGCGAAACGGGAAGAGCCCAAACCAACAAGCUUGCUUGUUGGGGUUGUAGGACACUCUAUACGGAGUUACAAAGGACGACAUUAGACGAAUCAUCUGGAAAGAUGAAUCAAAGAAGGUAAUAAUCCUGUAGUCGAAAAUGUUGUCUCUCUUGAGUGGAUCCUGAGUACGACGGAGCACGUGAAAUUCCGUCGGAAUCUGGGAGGACCAUCUCCUAAGGCUAAAUACUCUCUAGUGACCGAUAGUGAACCAGUACCGUGAGGGAAAGGUGAAAAGCACCCCGGAAGGGGAGUGAAAUAGAACCUGAAACCGUGUGCUUACAAGUAGUCAGAGCCCGUUAAUGGGUGAUGGCGUGCCUUUUGUAGAAUGAACCGGCGAGUUACGAUUUGAUGCAAGGUUAAGCAGUAAAUGUGGAGCCGUAGCGAAAGCGAGUCUGAAUAGGGCGUUUAGUAUUUGGUCGUAGACCCGAAACCAGGUGAUCUACCCUUGGUCAGGUUGAAGUUCAGGUAACACUGAAUGGAGGACCGAACCGACUUACGUUGAAAAGUGAGCGGAUGAACUGAGGGUAGCGGAGAAAUUCCAAUCGAACCUGGAGAUAGCUGGUUCUCUCCGAAAUAGCUUUAGGGCUAGCCUCAAGUGAUGAUUAUUGGAGGUAGAGCACUGUUUGGACGAGGGGCCCCUCUCGGGUUACCGAAUUCAGACAAACUCCGAAUGCCAAUUAAUUUAACUUGGGAGUCAGAACAUGGGUGAUAAGGUCCGUGUUCGAAAGGGAAACAGCCCAGACCACCAGCUAAGGUCCCAAAAUAUAUGUUAAGUGGAAAAGGAUGUGGCGUUGCCCAGACAACUAGGAUGUUGGCUUAGAAGCAGCCAUCAUUUAAAGAGUGCGUAAUAGCUCACUAGUCGAGUGACACUGCGCCGAAAAUGUACCGGGGCUAAACAUAUUACCGAAGCUGUGGAUUGUCCUUUGGACAAUGGUAGGAGAGCGUUCUAAGGGCGUUGAAGCAUGAUCGNNNNNNNNNNNNNNNNAAGGACAUGUGGAGCGCUUAGAAGUGAGAAUGCCGGUGUGAGUAGCGAAAGACGGGUGAGAAUCCCGUCCACCGAUUGACUAAGGUUUCCAGAGGAAGGCUCGUCCGCUCUGGGUUAGUCGGGUCCUAAGCUGAGGCCGACAGGCGUAGGCGAUGGAUAACAGGUUGAUAUUCCUGUACCACCUAUAAUCGUUUUAAUCGAUGGGGGGACGCAGUAGGAUAGGCGAAGCGUGCGAUUGGAUUGCACGUCUAAGCAGUAAGGCUGAGUAUUAGGCAAAUCCGGUACUCAUUAAGGCUGAGCUGUGAUGGGGAGAAGACAUUGUGUCUUCGAGUCGUUGAUUUCACACUGCCGAGAAAAGCCUCUAGAUAGAAAAUAGGUGCCCGUACCGCAAACCGACACAGGUAGUCAAGAUGAGAAUUCUAAGGUGAGCGAGCGAACUCUCGUUAAGGAACUCGGCAAAAUGACCCCGUAACUUCGGGAGAAGGGGUGCUCUUUAGGGUUAACGCCCAGAAGAGCCGCAGUGAAUAGGCCCAAGCGACUGUUUAUCAAAAACACAGGUCUCUGCUAAACCGUAAGGUGAUGUAUAGGGGCUGACGCCUGCCCGGUGCUGGAAGGUUAAGAGGAGUGGUUAGCUUCUGCGAAGCUACGAAUCGAAGCCCCAGUAAACGGCGGCCGUAACUAUAACGGUCCUAAGGUAGCGAAAUUCCUUGUCGGGUAAGUUCCGACCCGCACGAAAGGCGUAACGAUUUGGGCACUGUCUCAACGAGAGACUCGGUGAAAUCAUAGUACCUGUGAAGAUGCAGGUUACCCGCGACAGGACGGAAAGACCCCGUGGAGCUUUACUGUAGCCUGAUAUUGAAAUUCGGCACAGCUUGUACAGGAUAGGUAGGAGCCUUUGAAACGUGAGCGCUAGCUUACGUGGAGGCGCUGGUGGGAUACUACCCUAGCUGUGUUGGCUUUCUAACCCGCACCACUUAUCGUGGUGGGAGACAGUGUCAGGCGGGCAGUUUGACUGGGGCGGUCGCCUCCUAAAAGGUAACGGAGGCGCUCAAAGGUUCCCUCAGAAUGGUUGGAAAUCAUUCAUAGAGUGUAAAGGCAUAAGGGAGCUUGACUGCGAGACCUACAAGUCGAGCAGGGUCGAAAGACGGACUUAGUGAUCCGGUGGUUCCGCAUGGAAGGGCCAUCGCUCAACGGAUAAAAGCUACCCCGGGGAUAACAGGCUUAUCUCCCCCAAGAGUUCACAUCGACGGGGAGGUUUGGCACCUCGAUGUCGGCUCAUCGCAUCCUGGGGCUGUAGUCGGUCCCAAGGGUUGGGCUGUUCGCCCAUUAAAGCGGUACGCGAGCUGGGUUCAGAACGUCGUGAGACAGUUCGGUCCCUAUCCGUCGUGGGCGUAGGAAAUUUGAGAGGAGCUGUCCUUAGUACGAGAGGACCGGGAUGGACAUACCUCUGGUGUACCAGUUGUCGUGCCAACGGCAUAGCUGGGUAGCUAUGUGUGGACGGGAUAAGUGCUGAAAGCAUCUAAGCAUGAAGCCCCCCUCAAGAUGAGAUUUCCCAACUUCGGUUAUAAGAUCCCUCAAAGAUGAUGAGGUUAAUAGGUUCGAGGUGGAAGCAUGGUGACAUGUGGAGCUGACGAAUACUAAUCGAUCGAAGACUUAAUCAA
RNAcentral lists this ribosomal RNA (2936 nucleotides) under Staphylococcus argenteus. RNAcentral's name for it is "bacterial LSU rRNA". It matches the Rfam family "Bacterial large subunit ribosomal RNA". The record is from RNAcentral. Lineage: Bacteria; Bacillati; Bacillota; Bacilli; Caryophanales; Staphylococcaceae.